This 483-nucleotide ribosomal RNA is filed under the name uncultured bacterium. RNAcentral's name for it is "bacterial SSU rRNA". It matches the Rfam family "Bacterial small subunit ribosomal RNA", at positions 30 to 507 of the family's 1533-position model. The record is from RNAcentral.
AUUGAACGCUGGCGGCAUGCCUAACACAUGCAAGUCGAACGGGAACGAUGGAAGCUUGCUUCCAGGCGUCGAGUGGCGGACGGGUGAGUAAUGCUUAGGAAUCUGCCCAAUAGUGGGGGACAACCAGGAGAAAUUCUGGCUAAUACCGCAUACGCACUACGGUGGAAAGUGGGGGACCUUCGGGCCUCACGCUAUUGGAUGAGCCUAAGUCGGAUUAGCUUGUUGGUGGGGUAAUGGCUCACCAAGGCGACGAUCCGUAGCUGGUCUGAGAGGACGAUCAGCCACACUGGGACUGAGACACGGCCCAGACUCCUACGGGAGGCAGCAGUAGGGAAUAUUGGGCAAUGGGCGGAAGCCUGACCCAGCCAUGCCGCGUGGGGGAAGAAGGUGCAUAGCAUUGUAAACUCCUUUUCAGGGAGGAUAAGGCUGUAGUAACUCUACAGAUUGAAGGUACCCCUGGAAUAAGCACCGGCUAACUACGUG